GAUGAACGCUAGCUACAGGCUUAACACAUGCAAGUCGAGGGGAAACGACAUCGCAAGCUUGCUUUUGAUGGGCGUCGACCGGCGCACGGGUGAGUAACGCGUAUCCAACCUGCCCACCACUUGGGGAUAACCUUGCGAAAGUAAGACUAAUACCCAAUGACGUCUCUAGAAGACAUCUGAAAGAGAUUAAAGAUUUAUCGGUGAUGGAUGGGGAUGCGUCUGAUUAGCUUGUUGGCGGGGUAACGGCCCACCAAGGCGACGAUCAGUAGGGGUUCUGAGAGGAAGGUCCCCCACAUUGGAACUGAGACACGGUCCAAACUCCUACGGGAGGCAGCAGUGAGGAAUAUUGGUCAAUGGACGGGAGUCUGAACCAGCCAAGUAGCGUGCAGGAUGACGGCCCUAUGGGUUGUAAACUGCUUUUAUAAGGGAAUAAAGUGAGUCUCGUGAGACUUUUUGCAUGUACCUUAUGAAUAAGGACCGACUAAUUCCGUG
Molecule: ribosomal RNA, 492 nt
Filed under: uncultured bacterium
Lineage: Bacteria
Description: partial 16S ribosomal RNA
Rfam family: Bacterial small subunit ribosomal RNA
Source: RNAcentral